GAUGAACGCUGGCGGCGUGCCUAAUACAUGCAAGUCGAGCGAACAGACGAGGAGCUUGCUCCUCUGACGUUAGCGGCGGACGGGUGAGUAACACGUGGAUAACCUACCUAUAAGACUGGGAUAACUUCGGGAAACCGGAGCUAAUACCGGAUAAUAUAUUGAACCGCAUGGUUCAAUAGUGAAAGACGGUUUUGCUGUCACUUAUAGAUGGAUCCGCGCCGCAUUAGCUAGUUGGUAAGGUAACGGCUUACCAAGGCAACGAUGCGUAGCCGACCUGAGAGGGUGGUCGGCCACACUGGAACUGAGACACGGUCCAGACGCCUACGGGAGGCAGCAGUAGGGAAUCUUCCGCAAUGGGCGAAAGCUUGACGGAGCAACGCCGCGUGAGUGAUGAAGGUCUUCGGAUCGUAAAACUCUGUUAUUAGGGAAGAACAAAUGUGUAAGUAACUAUGCACGUCUUGACGGUACCUAAUCAGAAAGCCACGGCUAACUACGUG
Molecule: ribosomal RNA, 497 nt
Filed under: uncultured bacterium
Lineage: Bacteria
Description: partial 16S ribosomal RNA
Rfam family: Bacterial small subunit ribosomal RNA
Source: RNAcentral